GACGAACGCUGGCGGCGUGCUUAACACAUGCAAGUCGAACGGAAAGGCCCUGCUUUUGUGGGGUGCCCGAGUGGCGAACGGGUGAGUAACACGUGAGUAACCUGCUCUUGACUUUGGGAUAACUUCAGGAAACUGGGGCUAAUACCGGAUAGGAGCUCCUGCAGCAUGGUGGGGGUUGGAAAGUUUCGGCGGUAGGGGAUGGACUCGCGGCUUAUCAGCUUGUUGGUGGGGUAGUGGCUUACCCAGGCUUUGACGGGUAGGCGGCCUGAGAGGGUGACCGGCCACAAUGGGACUGAGAGACGGCCCAGACUCCUACGGGAGGCAGCAGUGGGGAAUAUUGCACAAUGGGCGGAAGCCUGAUGCAGCAGCGCCGCGUGCGUGAUGACGGCCUGCGGGGUGUAAACCGCUUUCGCCUGUGACGAAGCGUGAGUGACGGUAAUGGGUAAAGAAGCACCGGCUAACUACGUG
RNAcentral lists this ribosomal RNA (468 nucleotides) under uncultured bacterium. RNAcentral's name for it is "partial 16S ribosomal RNA". It matches the Rfam family "Bacterial small subunit ribosomal RNA", at positions 28 to 507 of the family's 1533-position model. The record is from RNAcentral.